Molecule: long non-coding RNA, 733 nt
Organism: Hemibagrus wyckioides
Lineage: Eukaryota; Metazoa; Chordata; Actinopteri; Siluriformes; Bagridae
Exons: 3
Source: RefSeq, a predicted model, not a curated record
CACACACACACACACACACAGACACAGACACACACACAGACACACACACACACACAGACACACACACACACACACAGACACACACACACACACAGACACACACACACAGACACACACACACACACACACAGACACACACACACAGACACACAGACACACACACACAGACACACACACACAGACACAUUUACACAACAGACACAAAAAAAUCACAUCACUGCACAGUAAAUAAAAACGUCAGCUUCUUUUCACCUUUCUGAUUUUUCUUUUUCUUUUUUUUCUUCUUGUCAGUUUUGGGAGCUGCAGCGAGAAGGAGAGCCACAAACUGCUCAAUGUCAUUAAUCAGGCUCAUUUCCUGUCCCCAAACUCGUCCCAUCGUCUCCAACAGUUUCAGACGCUCCACACAGUCCUGCAGUCCUGAGACUUCCACACCAUCCAGCUCACAGCAUGAUGUGAGAUGUGACGCUGAGCGCUCUCUGAACUCAAACACAUUGUACAUCAAAGACCUCGAGAAGAUCCAGCUCUCCUCACUGACCAGCAGGGACAUGCCGUCUGGACCGAGGGAGAAACUGGAAGAUGAUGACCUUUUAUUUACAGUCACAUCUCUACAUUAAUUAAAGUCCGGUUCUGUUCCAUACAUAUACUCCCACACACGUGUGUGUGUGUCAAAUAGCAUUUAUAAGAUAAUGAAAUAAUCUAAAAUAGUUCACAAGUUGGAUUUUUUACCUGCUCU